This 470-nucleotide ribosomal RNA is filed under the name Diploposthe laevis. RNAcentral's name for it is "SSU rRNA". It matches the Rfam family "Eukaryotic small subunit ribosomal RNA", at positions 791 to 1255 of the family's 1831-position model. Lineage: Eukaryota; Metazoa; Platyhelminthes; Cestoda; Cyclophyllidea; Hymenolepididae. The record is from RNAcentral.
UUGCCUGAAAAGUUUUGCAUGGAAUAAUGGAAUAGGACUUCGGUUCUAUUUCGUUGGUUUUCGGAUCCGAAGUAAUGAUCAAAAGAGACAGGCGGGGACGUUUGUAUGGCUGCGCUAGAGGUGAAAUUCAUGGACCGUAGCCAGACAAACUAAAGCGAAAGCAUUCGUCAAGCAUGUUUUCAUUGGCCAUGAGCGAAAGUCAGAGGCUCGAAGACGAUCAGAUACCGUCCUAGUUCUGACCAUAAACGAUGCCAACUGACGAUCCGUGGUGGUAGUUAACAAACCUUCCCCACGGGCAGUCCCCGGGAAACCUUUAAGUCUUUGGGUUCCGGGGGAAGUAUGGUUGCAAAGCUGAAACUUAAAGGAAUUGACGGAAGGGCACCACCAGGAGUGGAGCCUGCGGCUUAAUUUGACUCAACACGGGAAAACUCACCCGGGCCGGACACUAUGAGGAUUGACAGAUUGAUAGC